UACGUAGGGGGCUAGCGUUGUCCGGAAUCAUUGGGCGUAAAGAGCGCGUAGGCGGCUAGAUAAGUCCGGUGUGAAAGUCACAGGCUCAACCUGUGAAUGCCGCUGGAAACUGUCUGGCUAGAGUCCGGAAGGGGCGAGUGGAAUUCCUGGUGUAGCGGUGAAAUGCGCAGAUAUCAGGAGGAACACCAAUGGCGAAGGCAGCUCGCUGGGACGGUACUGACGCUGAGGCGCGAAAGCGUGGGGAGCAAAUGGG
Molecule: ribosomal RNA, 253 nt
Filed under: uncultured bacterium
Lineage: Bacteria
Description: partial 16S ribosomal RNA
Rfam family: Bacterial small subunit ribosomal RNA
Source: RNAcentral